GGGGGAGACGAGAACGAAGCAAGGUCAGCAGUAGCUCAGAAUGGCAGCUGGGACAGUAUUAAUCCAGACACCACGCCUGCUACAUCUCUUCAGUCACCACGCCACCACCGACCCCUUGAGUCUACGCAGCCCAGUGUCCGUCUGUGUCUUGUCGUGGGCGUGACGUUCAGCAGCGGCAGGAACAGCAACGGGAAGCUUGAUCUGCGUGGGUUUUCGUGCGGCGGGGUGACGUGCCGCUGCUGUGAGGUUAUCGGACCACAGCACAGCACAGAGGAGGAGAGGCGUUGACGAUCCAAAGGCCUGACUCCACAACGGUAAUGAGCCUCGUCUACCUUGCACUUAACGGACAACGCUCACUACCAACACUUCUGCCUCUUCCACCGCCGCAAGAUUGGGGAAGGACUCGCUGCCUUGCAUCGCGCACACGGGCUACUCUUAACGACCGCCACCGCCGCUGCUGCCGUUGAGGGAGACUGGCUGGAUGAGUGAGUGAUAGAGGCGAGGCAGGUGUGGUGAGGCGGAGGAUUGGAGACGAGAACGAACAGAUGACGGCAGACACGGAAGAUUCCACUAACCAGGAGUUGGUGAUCCGAAGCCGUGACUGCAGCGAUCCCGUGCGUCCUGCACCAUCAGGAAAGGUACUCUGGCUUCGCACUGCGCCUACAUUGACCGUUACCGCCGCUGCUACCGCUACUCGGAGGGGCACUGCCUCGCAUUGGGCCUUCACUGCUGUCCCGCUAAUACACGUGCCGCCGUCGCCGCUACUGGCACUGAGGGACUUCGCUUCGCAGCGGCCUGGCAAACACCUGCUACACCACCACCACCACUAACUCCACCGCCGCCGCCACCACCGCAGUCUCCUAUUCAACGCUUGCUGCCACUACCACCUCAUUAUGGUGUCACUGUACUUGAAGCUUGGAUCUGUUGUCACUACUGAAUAAUAAAGUGUAAAGAAAUA
RNAcentral lists this long non-coding RNA (958 nucleotides) under Portunus trituberculatus (swimming crab). Its description in RNAcentral is "uncharacterized LOC123502466, transcript variant X1". The record is from RNAcentral. Lineage: Eukaryota; Metazoa; Arthropoda; Malacostraca; Decapoda; Portunidae.